This 334-nucleotide ribosomal RNA is filed under the name uncultured Bacillota bacterium. RNAcentral's name for it is "bacterial SSU rRNA". It matches the Rfam family "Bacterial small subunit ribosomal RNA", at positions 28 to 351 of the family's 1533-position model. Lineage: Bacteria; Bacillati; Bacillota. The record is from RNAcentral.
GAUGAACGCUGGCGGCGUGCCUAACACAUGCAAGUCGAACGGAGUUUUAUGAAGUUUUCGGACGGAUUAAAACUUAGUGGCGGACGGGUGAGUAACGCGUGGGUAACCUGCCUCAUACAGGGGGGAUAACAGCUGGAAACGGCUGCUAAAACCGCAUAAGCAUACACUGCCGCAUGGCAGAGUGUGAAAAAUAUUAAUAGGUAUGAGAUGGGCCCGCGUCUGAUUAGCUAGUUGGUAAGGUAACGGCUUACCAAGGCGACGAUCAGUAGCCGGCUUGAGAGAGUGACCGGCCACAUUGGGACUGAGACACGGCCCAAACUCCUACGGGUGGCAG